GGUGAUUCUGGAGUAGCAAUUCCGGGUGAGAAAGGAUUCCCUGGGCUCCCAGGACCUCCUGGGGUAAAAGGCCAGAUGGGAUUGCCUGGUUUGGGGCUUCCUGGGCCUCCAGGAGCCAGAGGUAGCCCCGGAGACCUUGGUGAUACGGGUGAUAUUGGGCCACCUGGUCCAAAAGGCCAGAAAGGUGAAACUGUCUGCAUUACAUCACCAUAUCCUGGAAAUCCAGGUCCCCCGGGUUUUAAAGGUGUUCAAGGACAAAAGGGUUUAAAAGGACUCCCUGGGCAUCCUGGACCAAAUGGCUUUGAUGGGCAAAAAGGCCAUCGAGGAAGGCCAGGAGCAGGAAUCCCUGGGCCAGAAGGUGAAUUGUGCUUUUCCUGAUCUGGGAGAGCUGCUGUAAUGCACGUUGUCAUGUUAUAAUGCAUACAUGCA
This 429-nucleotide long non-coding RNA is filed under the name Cyanistes caeruleus (blue tit). RNAcentral's name for it is "lncRNA (ENSCCEG00000018401.1)". Lineage: Eukaryota; Metazoa; Chordata; Aves; Passeriformes; Paridae. The record is from RNAcentral.